Lepus europaeus (European hare) is the source of this 4463-nucleotide long non-coding RNA. RefSeq lists it as uncharacterized. The record is from RefSeq and is a predicted model, not a curated record. The transcript is spliced from 3 exons. Lineage: Eukaryota; Metazoa; Chordata; Mammalia; Lagomorpha; Leporidae.
UCUCCCUAAGCUCUAGUCAUGAGUUGCCAAGGCUAUGGAAGCCUUUAGGGUUCGCCGACUUUGAUCUUAUUCCGAUAGGGUCAUAGUCAAAGUUGAAGUUCUCUCCUCCCUUCAGAGAAAGGUACCUCCUUCUUUGAUGGCCCCGUUCUUUCCACUGGGAUCUCACUUGCAGAGAUCUUUCAUUUAGGUCUUUUUUUUUUUUUCCAGAGUGUCUUGGUUUUCCAUGCCUAAAAUACUCUUCAGCCAGAUCCGAAUGCCUUAAGGGCUGAUUCUGAGGCCAGAGUGCUAUUUAGGACAUUGCCAUUCUAUGAGUCCACUGUGUCUCCCACUUCCUAUGUUGGAUCGUUCUCUCCCUUUUUGAUUCUAUCAGUAUUAGCAGACACUUGUCUUGUUUGUGUGGUCCCUUUGACUCUUAAGGUCUCCACUUUUUGUUCAUAAGGGUCACCCAGAUUGGAUCAGUCACAAUAUGCAACAAUUGUAGCAGGACUUGGUUGGGGCGGGGGUGUGGUGGAUAAAGGACAUUGGGCCUUUCUACUAUAGAAAUCUGGCAAGACUGAUGUUCUGCUCAUGUUGCUAAAUUGGGCUACACGACUGGAGAGCCUGAAAGACUCCUGGGAGGAAGAUGUUCCUGGUUCUGAUCCUGAGGCUCUGGUGCUGCAGUGCUGCCUUAUGAUUUCUGAGCCACCCAGCUUCUCUUCUAGGUGCAUGAGGGUUAUUUUGUUUGUUUUCUUAAUCUCGUUUAAGUUCCAUUUCUAUCAUUUAAAUCUCAACAGUCCUCAUCAAUGUAGAUAGCUGUCAAUACAAUGAUAACAUUUGCAUAAAUAAUUUUAAGCAAACCCUCAGUUUAAGUACCCUUGUAGAUUAUAAAUCCUUUCAUGAUUAAACAUCUCUUGAUCUUGUUGCUCAUAGUAAUGGCUUCUGCAUCUUCUGGUAUGGAUUAUAUAUAAGGCUACUGAUAGGAGUGUAUGGCUAUUGGACUUUCAGAGGACCUGCUCACUUUUGAGUAAUAUUUAUAUAUGGCACCUGCUCUACUAGGCAGGAGUAGAAAUCUGUAAAUAGACACUUUAGGCAGUCAUUCCUUCCAAACCAUGCUUUACUUGUCUUGUUAAGGAAAUAAUGCACUAACAAAAGCAGAGUGCAUUUGAGGGAUUUAUUUGCUAAUGAGUAUACGUUCCUUAUAUUUAAGAGCUUUAUAGUAAAGUGGUGGAUGCUAUUUCAACAGACAAAAGUUUGCUGUUCGGUGAAACGUUCAACUGUAAAGACAAGAAUAAUAACACAAUCUUUAUAAAAUGGAGAGAAAAGCUGCAUUUCCUAACUGACCAUAGCCAUGUGUCUCAAUGGUUUUAAUAUCAUGAGAAAUGUAUUUAUGACCAGGAGAAUAUAAAUGCAUUCUUCGUAAAGUGUGUUCCCUUCUUUUAGGAUCCAAGUGGGAAGCAGAGCAGUUACUCCAUUUAAAUCUUCUUGCUAGAAUCUGAGGAGUUUUUGAAAUGCUCUUGGACUUUUUGUCUAACAUACUCAUGUGCAAGCAGUAGUGGGAAGUGGUUGAAAGCAAAAAGAUUGUGGUUUUGUUACCAGAGAAAGAAGGGUUCUUCUCUUUGUGCAAGAAAGAAUUCAGGAGUGAGACAGAGCAGGGGAAAACAACAUAGCAAGAUUUAUUAGGGUAGGGACAUCCGUAAGAACAGAUGGCACCUCUCCAGACAGAACCUGAGAGUGCCCAGUUGCUCAGACUGGGGGAGAGCUCAGACUGGGGUUGAGUGGAGAGAAUACACCUGGGCAGGCCAGGUGGGCGGCUCAGCAGAGAGGCAGAGGGCUGAGCGCGCAGUCCGGUUGAGACUGGUGUUAUUAAGGGGAUGGGUCUUGCCUUGCUGGACCUAGAUGUCAACUCCUUAGGCCUUUGUCACACACACACAAGCUCAUUUCUGACUUCCUACCUAACAGUUUCUCAGCUGAGCUCAAAAUAUUGUGACCAGUAAACAUCAGUCCCAAACUCCAUGAGCUGGUAUGGCAAAUGCAAUGUUUGGGAGAUUUUAAUUAAGCUAAUGGAAGGGUGUGGCAGCGUGGAUCACCCCAAAGGACAAAUACCUCCUCACCCUUUCCCAAAUUUUGGAUUUCUGUAUGUAGUUCACCACUUUGGGCAAUAAAUCCCAUUUCCUAACUAGUGAAACCAUAAAAUUUUAGAAUUCAUCAUGAUGUGGGACAUCAUUCGCUUAAAUAUUUUUCUAAAGAGCACACUGCAGAUUUCAACAACUGAGUGAGAAAUAGCACCUGAAUUUGCUGGUUUACAAAGAUUUCUAGUGCCAUGUGUUAGAUGAACUCCAACAGUGAAGUUGGAAUCAAUAUUGAAAUUAAGAAAAGAUUAUUUUGAGAAUGAAAUAUUCAGGUCAAAGUGAAGCCAAGUGAUCAGUGAGGAGAAAAUAAAAGUCAGAUCUGAAAAAGUUGCGUAGAGUGGGUUUUCAUUCCCAGAGAUUAUCAGUGAAUAGAUGAAAAUGCGAGUAGCUUUAGAGCAAGCACAGGUAAUAGCAGGUAUUGAGUAUGUUCUCUGCAAGACCAACCACAGUUUUCAUUCUUCUCUAGAGAAGACCAGUGGGAAUUCUUAACCUCAGAUACACAGGUAUUUUUAAGUAGCCAUCCUGCAAACAAAACAACAACAACAAAAUUUUAUCCAAUUUCAACUUAAUUAAGGGUGUGUAUCAGAUAGUGAGAAAUCCAUUGUGAUGGUUAAUAUUACAUGUUCAUAAGGUCUCUGGCCCAGAAAUACCUCACUACAUAGUGAAGGGAAAAGACAAAUAGCUUGACUUCAUCUGUCUUUUCUAAGAGGACUGUCUCCUGUGAUCCCAUGUUUGGAAUAGUUCCUAGCAUGACCAAAAAGAGAGGAAUAAACACAGCAAUAAUUUAGUGUGCUUAAUGGGAUAAAAUGAAAGGAUUAUUCACAAACAGAAAACUGGACUUUUGAGCAGAUGUUUAUUUAAAUCCAAACAGCAACUCCUACUUUUCCUGUUAUCUCCAAUUAUAUGAUGCAACAUUUUUACCAGAAGAAGCACUUUUAAAAAACAGUCUUCCAGGGAGAGAAUAAACAAUACUAUAUUUGGCUAACAGCUGCUUUUGGAAAAUAAGAUGUCAGCAAAGCUGGAUGUUGUUUAAAGAAAACUAAUUAUCCAGCUACCUUUGCCUUGUAUCAGAGUAAAUAAAGUACUUCCUGAUUUGCACUGAAAUGUUUUGUCUAGGGUUUAAAUAUUAGGUAUUAGUCAGAUAUUUUACUUCCUCCAUCAUUUUCCUUGUGGAGCAAAUGGAUUUAAAGGAGGAUUCCUGGUGUUAGAUUGUGCUGCCAGUUCCCCUUUAUGUUUCCUGGAGCGGCACAGAGCUAUUGCUUCUCUGCUUAUCCACCAUCCACUAUUUGUGUUCAGUGUAAAGAAUGUGUUUAUGGAUAAAUUAGAAUCCUGAUAUCCCAGAGACAAUACAGUGUGGUUGCAUUUGUCUAUGUUUAAUCAUGCAAAUGUCAAAUAAAAGUUGCGGGUCAUAUCUCAUUUCAUGCAUAGAAUUUGAAAUAAUGCAAAUGCCUCUAGUUUUGGAAAACUGAUUUCAAGGUUGGGCAGCUGAAUGAAAAGUGAACUGGGUUGUUCUGCUACCGUGUGGCACUGUGGCUGGUACCGAGAAAAGCUGGCAGCAGGCUGGAGCUUCCCUCAGCCACAACUGCAGGUGCCUGUGGCAAUGCCUACCUGUUUUCACAGUUACCAUUAUUAUAACUUGAAACAUUUCCAUCUUCCAAAGCAAUCUUAGCUGAGUACUCGUUUAGUGGGGCAGCAGUGUUAGUGCUGAAAGGUGAGCCUGAAAAUUGGGGAUUUUUGAGUGAUACGUAUUUAAUGUCACAAAGGUCAAACCACUCCUAUGGCACAUUUUAGGAUGAGCACUCCGUAAAAUGUUAGUGAUGAUCUCGGGAAAAGAAAAAGCCACAUUAAAGCACAAAUGUGAUAUCUUCAUAAGUACAGAUUUUGAGGAAGUAUUUCUCUAUACUUGUGGAAAAAUGUGUAGUGAAAUAUACAAGAUUUUCAAGAAUCUCACCUGUAUAAAAUCUGGUAUCUGUUUUUUUUCUUUUUUCUUUUUUUAAAGAUUUGUUUAUUUAUUUGAAAGGUAGAGUUACAGAGAAAGAGAAGAAGAGACAGAGAAAUCUUUCAUCUGCUGGUUCACUCCCCAAGUAGCCACAGGCUGCAGCCAGGAGCCAGGAGCUUCUUCCGGAUCUCCCAAGUCCUUUCUGCGGAGGAUGAGUCAAGGAGCACCCAGCUUCUGGGGUACCUUUCGUUCUUUUCUGCUGGUAAGAGUCCCCUGGCAAUCAGUGGAGAGCACAGCUUUGAGCAUCCCAGAAGACGUCACCAAUCUGAGGACUAACAACGCCUGAGAAGAAUCAAUGUGUGAGAAUAAACUGAAAAUAUGUCCAGAAACCGUUGGAGGUAGUGGUGAGUACAGUG